GCAUAUGGUCAAACCACUGUGAGAAUGCCCAAUCUUGUUUAUCUCAUAACCUAAGAAGGGUGGCCUGGUUAGUGGUUAGUACUUGAAUGGGUGACUGCCCGAAAGUACCAGGUGCUGUAUGUU
Molecule: ribosomal RNA, 123 nt
Organism: Acanthochromis polyacanthus (spiny chromis)
Lineage: Eukaryota; Metazoa; Chordata; Actinopteri; Pomacentridae
Source: Ensembl